ACAUGCACUGUCAAAGUGCAAUGAAUCAAAAAUGUUUUUGACUUUAGCCUGCGAAAAACCACUUUCUCUGGGAAAAACCACUUUCUCCCCAAAAACAAAUUCUUUUUUAUUUUUAAAGUAGUCUUCUUCUUCUUUAUUUCCAAAACACUUUCUCUGGGAAAAACCAGUUUCUUCUUUCUUCUUCGUUCCGCAACCCGGCGGAUAAUCUCGAACAGCAGAGAUUAUUUUUCUUGGAGGAUAUCGAUGCGGUUGGUGUUGUAUAUUAUCACGAGAGGACGAGACCACGGAUGAACGACGAGACCACGGAGGAAGAACACGACCACACUGCUGAGUAUUAUGAGUCGAUGAGAUUCUGCGGCGAGUCCACGGUGGAAGGCGAGGGCGUGAAGGGUUUUCUUUUCGAGCCGAAAGUUGCGAGUUCGAAUUCGGAUUUGCAGUAAUUUGAGAGCAACUUCGAAACAAACUUGAUGGUGCAGGUAAAUCCCUUGGACUUGGUGACCAAAAUCUAGGAAAGGGAUUUGCACUUGUAGUUUCAAAUUCUUGUGUAGAUUCGGUUUUUGCAGGCAAAAAUCCCGAGUGAAAUGUAUUGUCUGAGGGCCUAAUGGGACUGUAAAACCUUUCUGAAUUCUGAUAAUUGUUGGAUGAAUUUGUAUGAUGAAAUGGUUCAAUUUCAGAAAGAAUUUUGUUCUCUGUCGAAAGUAAUGGUGUAAGGGAAUAAGGUUCAAAUUGUUGGGUUAAUUCAGGCCUAGGUUCAAACAGGUUGUAGGAUGGGAUUUCGAAUGAUUGGGUAUUUUUGUGAGUUUUGGAUUCUACAGGAAAAUACUCCGAUGACGAUUUCGAACUUUCAAUCAAAAUCGGUUCAACAUUCUCCUUGGUCAUCGACGUCCUCUUCCCUAAAUGCUUCUCAAGUUGAAACUUAGAAAAAACGUUGUUGGAUUCGUUACUUGACGGAGAGGAAGUCUCAGAUUUUGUUCGAGACGUCCUCGGAUGAAAACUGGGCAAAUUAUCUUGAUUCAUGAAAACCUGGCUCUGAGGCCACUGUUGGUAAUUGUUUAUUAACAGGAUCGGGAAACGGAUGUCGUUGGACUAUCGAUCACAAUAUGAUGCGAAGGAUAUGAACAGAGUGAAUAUAGAAUCGAAUGUAUAUUCUGACAGAAAGGGAUUUACAAAUAUAUAGAUAUGCAAGUAACCUUUCUGGAGAAGUUGUGUUCUUCAGGAGAAGUUAUGACUUCUCAGCGAUUGUUUCAGUACAAUUGCAUCUUCUUCUGCUGAUGAUAUCAGUGGUAUGAUAUCUGAACUGAGUACAUUGCCUGCGGGUCCUGACACCCAGCGUCAUGUCUCUGCUAUACGGCGGAAGAUUACAAUAUUGGGGAGUAGACUUGAUAGCUUCCAUCAAACUCCCUGAUAAAUAGCACAUAUCAGAGAGAGAGAGAUGAAUCGUCGAAAGGAUAUGAUAGGAAAUUUAAGAUCGAAAGUGAAGCACGGCUUCAACAUUGAUGUCCUAGUCUUCCAACCGAGAUAGCUUGAUGGGGCCAGAAAUAAAUAAAGCAGAUGGCUUCAACAUUGACGUCCCACUCUUCCAACCCUUCAAUUUUUUAUUUUUGCUUUCAAAUAUAAAAUAUCCCCAUUAACUUUUCUUCACAUUUUGAUGAGGAAAAAUGACUGAAACAUGUAAUGUGUUUACUUAUAUUUGAGAGACCACUGAUUUAGCCAA
This is a non-coding RNA of Malus domestica (apple), 1714 nucleotides long. The record is from RefSeq and is a predicted model, not a curated record. Lineage: Eukaryota; Viridiplantae; Streptophyta; Magnoliopsida; Rosales; Rosaceae.